CCUACGGGGGGCUGCAGUGGGGAAUAUUGGACAAUGGGCGAAAGCCUGAUCCAGCCAUGCCGCGUGUGUGAAGAAGGCCUUCGGGUUGUAAAGCACUUUCAGUGGGGAAGAAAGCCUUGGGGCUAAUACCCUCGAGGAAGGACAUCACCCACAGAAGAAGCACCGGCUAACUCCGUGCCAGCAGCCGCGGUAAUACGGAGGGUGCGAGCGUUAAUCGGAAUUACUGGGCGUAAAGCGCGCGUAGGCGGUCUGAUAAGCCGGUUGUGAAAGCCCCGGGCUCAACCUGGGAACGGCAUCCGGAACUGUCAGGCUAGAGUGCAGGAGAGGAGGGUAGAAUUCCCGGUGUAGCGGUGAAAUGCGUAGAGAUCGGGAGGAAUACCAGUGGCGAAGGCGGCCUUCUGGACUGACACUGACGCUGAGGUGCGAAAGCGUGGGUAGCAAACAGGAUUAGAUACCCGUGUAGUC
Molecule: ribosomal RNA, 465 nt
Filed under: Vreelandella stevensii
Lineage: Bacteria; Pseudomonadati; Pseudomonadota; Gammaproteobacteria; Oceanospirillales; Halomonadaceae
Description: partial 16S ribosomal RNA
Rfam family: Bacterial small subunit ribosomal RNA
Source: RNAcentral